GGCUCAGGAUGAACGCUAGCGUACAGGCUUAACACAUGCAAGUCGAGGGGAAACGAUAUUGGAAGCUUGCUUCCGAUAGGCGUCGACCGGCGCACGGGUGAGUAACGCGUAUCCAACCUGCCCAUCACUUGGGAAUAACCUUGCGAAAGUAAGACUAAUGCCCAAUGACAUUUAUAGAAGGCAUCUGAAAUGAAUUAAAGAUUUAUCGGUGAUGGAUGGGGAUGCGUCUGAUUAGCUUGUUGGCGGGGUAACGGCCCACCAAGGCGACGAUCAGUAGGGGGUUCUGAGAGGAAGGUCCCCCACAUUGGAACUGAGACACGGUCCAAACUCCUACGGGAGGCAGCAGUGAGGAAUAUUGGUCAAUGGGCGAGAGCCUGAACCAGCCAAGUAGCGUGCAGGAAGACGGCCCUAUGGGUUGUAAACUGCUUUUAUAGGGGAAUAAAGUGAGCCACGUGUGGUUUAUUGCAUGUACCCUAUGAAUAAGGACCGGCUAAUUCCGUG
Molecule: ribosomal RNA, 501 nt
Filed under: uncultured bacterium
Lineage: Bacteria
Description: bacterial SSU rRNA
Rfam family: Bacterial small subunit ribosomal RNA
Source: RNAcentral